RNAcentral lists this ribosomal RNA (639 nucleotides) under uncultured bacterium. RNAcentral describes it as "bacterial SSU rRNA". It matches the Rfam family "Bacterial small subunit ribosomal RNA", at positions 232 to 885 of the family's 1533-position model. The record is from RNAcentral.
CGCGGCCUAUCAGCUUGUUGGUGGGGUAACGGCCUACCAAGGCAUCGACGGGUAGCUGGUCUGAGAGGAUGAUCAGCCACACUGGGACUGAGACACGGCCCAGACUCCUACGGGAGGCAGCAGUGGGGAAUCUUGCGCAAUGGGCGAAAGCCUGACGCAGCAACGCCGCGUGCGGGAAGAAGGCCCUAGGGUUGUAAACCGCUUUCAGUAGGAACGAAAAUGACGGUACCUGCAGAAGAAGGUGCGGCCAACUACGUGCCAGCAGCCGCGGUGACACGUAGGCACCAAACGUUGUCCGGAUUUAUUGGGCGUAAAGAGCCCGUAGGCGGUUCAGUAAGUCGGGUGUGAAAACUCUGGGCUUAACCCAGAGCCGCCACUCGAUACUGCUGUGACUUGAGUUCGGUAGGGGAGCAGGGAAUUCCUAGUGUAGCGGUGAAAUGCGCAGAUAUCAGGAGGAACACCGAUGGCGAAGGCAGGUCUCUGGGCCGAUACUGACGCUGAGGAGCGAAAGCGUGGGGAGCGAACAGGAUUAGAUACCCUGGUAGUCCACGCUGUAAACGUUGGGCGCUAGGUGUGGGGGACCUCUCCGGUUCUCUGUGCCGCAGCUAACGCAUUAAGCGCCCCGCCUGGGGAGUACGG